Non-coding RNA from Drosophila melanogaster (fruit fly), 929 nucleotides. Lineage: Eukaryota; Metazoa; Arthropoda; Insecta; Diptera; Drosophilidae. The record is from Ensembl.
CUUUUCUUGGUCAGCUCUCGUCGAGUUCGGACGCAUGGUGCUAGGUGCUAUACAUGGACAAAAAGGAUAAAUGUGACCACAAAUUGAAAUUGACCCUAGACACGCGGUGCAAGAAUUGCGAAGACGAUGGCAACCGAAAUCAAAAUCUGAUUCUCAAUCGGAAUCAGAAUCAGAAGUCCACGCCGGUCUGGGAUGCCAUGGAGAUGGGACAUUUGUAUGCAAAUUCAGUGAUUGCUCUCCGCAGAAACCACAGGCAAAGGCAAGACGGUAGGAGCGACCACACAAUAAAUGGGCAUAAAUUACACGACCCGAAGGAGGAGCCACCAGACAGACGGUAAAGAAGGGAAAGCUUUUGGGCGUGAGAUCGGUGUCGGUGAGCUCUGAAAGCAGGAUGCGGGAGUAGGGUCCUAGGAUGCAGAUGGCCGUGUACAUGGAGGUCACAUCUGCCACAUUAACCUUGGCCCUUAGAUGAUUGGGCAUGUGUUUCCGAAUCCAGCACAUGGAGCGCGUUUGCUGAAUGGUGGGUGCAAUCAUCAUGUAGCUGAAAUAGCGAAUGAUGAGCGUCUCACUGGCCAUGUUGAGCUGGAUGGGCAAGCUACUUACUGCCGCUCGGAGAGGCGUGCCAAGGAGCAGUCGUUCUCAUAGCCCCCAUUGGGAUUCUGCAUGCCUGUGUGGAUGAUGGAGCCCACGGCCACGUCCACGUCGUUGGAGCAGAGGUACUGCAAUAGGUCCACCACCUCGUUUCCCUUCGACCAGAAGUCGUAUUUGGUAAAGGAGCUGUAGUCUGCUAUGCCAAUGCGUUCCCUACAAGCCCGGUAUUCUGAGGCCACAUGAUCGAACCACGGCGGCUUGCCAAAGGUGCGUGUUUGGGCAAUACGAAAGCGCGGCAACCCGAACUCAUCUGAAAUAUAGAAUCAAGCCGGAGAAGG